UUUUAUCCAUUUUUUAUAUACUUCUUUUACUUCUCCUUCCAUUUCUAAAAUACUGUGAAAAUAACGCAAUAGGAACUAUAUUAUUAGACGGAGGAAGUACUAAAUUAAAAAACCAUAAGGGUUUGGUUUAGUCAAGUGUUCCUUACCAAUAAAAAUAAAUAUUAAAAUAAAAAAGAGCAAACGCCUCAAAAAAGUAAAAUGAAUACCCGGAUGAAAAAACCAUUUGCCUUCCCUCCAAAUUCAGGAUUUCUUCCUGCUAUUCCUCGAUAACCCUAAUUUAGAUUUCCACGUAGAAAUAAGGAAAUUGAAGAUGAGGAAAUGAGGUCAAAUUCGUUGCUUCUUCCCUUGCAAAUUAAUCUGAGGAGAAUUUGAAGUUGUAAUCUGGGGUACAUUGAACACUGGUGUUUUAGGAGCAUUAUUAAUGGACUGAAUUAACUUCACCAAAAUGAGCCGUGGGCGAGUAUUUUGGUCAGACUUGCCCCCGGAGUUGUUGUCAAAAAUUGCUGCAUGCCUUGAGAGUCGAUCGGACACCCAGAACUUUCGGGCAGUUUGUAAGGCAUGGAAGAGAGCAAUCACUUUACAUGAUCUCACCUCAAAGAACAUAUUAUCCCCUACUCUUUAGCAACCUGCGCUGGAAGUUGGUUAGAUGAUAGCGGUCCUUUCUCACCGGUUGUAGUGGCGAGUUAUGUUUUACUCUUUUGAUCAACUCUCGAUCCUAAGCUCCCACCCUGGUUAUUUACUGCUGAAGAGUUGCACCCUGGUAAGUUGUUUGUGAGCAGAUUCCUCUCACCAAUCGCCAUUAAAUUGUUGCCCACCAGUUUCCCAAGGAAAUUGGAUUUAUCUUACAUUCAAGUAUCAGAGUUAGCUGCAUUCCAUAGGUUGAGGUUUGUUGAUGCUCCUAGUGAUAUUUUUUGGGAAGAAGAGUCUUCGAGAGUUCAAUGAUAAUAGGGUGGUUUUGUUUGUAAAUCCUAAUUGUAGUAAAACUUACCCUACGAUUGGUGAUUGUACUGCCAUUGUUUUACAUCAUAAAGGGGCCUUAUGUGCAAUAAGGCUUAAAGACAAGCGAGAGUUAAAGGUGAGAUUCCGGGAAUCCUAUCUAGGGGUGGAGAAUUUUGAUGAUAUAGUUAAUUUUAAAGGAAAGAUUUAUGCUAUUGAUCGCAGAUGCAGAGUCUUUAAGAUGGAUUACAAUACCUUAUCGUUGUUGCUCUAGAUAGAAAAGCCAAUACUUGAGUUUUCAUGUUAUAAGAGACGUCUAGCUGUAUCAAGUGAUCAUCAAGAAUUGUAUUUGAUUGAUAGAUUGUGUAGGCAUGGAACAAGAUAUGGAAUAGAUUGUACCAUUUAUAAGUUAAACAAGGACGAGACAAAAUGGGAUGAAGUUGAAGGGGUUGGUGAUGAUAAGAUACUAUUUGUAACUUUUGAAGAGAUUUUCUUUGCCUCAGUGGAGGAUUUUCAAGGAUGGAAAGGCAAUUGCAUUGUCUUCUAUAGAGGUUGUUUUACUGGAUAUAGAACCUCUCUUCCCGAUCAAGAUGAUUCACUUUUUGCUUAUAAUUUUUAUGGUGGUGAUUGUCAAUAUUUGGCAUCUUAUCAAUCUAGAGUGUUCUGGCCACCUCCAACUUGGCUAUCAUCAAAUGCGCUUAUGUCCAAAUGGUAUAUUUAACCCUAGCUUUUCACUUUUUGGUAUUGAAAGAUGUGUGCAGUAACUGCUGUAUAUAAUAUUAUAAUUCCAGUGAUUUUGCACAUAGUGACAUUUCCUUGAGUUCAAUUUAUAUGUGUAUUCUUGAAUUUACAAGCUUAGUUUUUCCAUACUAAUUCCAAUGCAAUGUUGUCCCUCCUAUUUAUAUCUUGUAAUGAACCUUAAAAAAAGCUAUUGUACUCAUAGCAUCUUCCAAAUGUCUUUUAUAUCAGCCUUGAAACUCCAUGGUUUAUCCCCGUCGAAAAAUUGAACCUAGGUAAAUUUUCUCAGGAAACUCACAUGCUACUCUAGACUCUCAGGUCAGUUAAAUGUUUUUCUAGGUUUUGGGUAUCUGCCAUAUUAUGCAACUGAGAUCAGUUGGGGUCAUUACUCUAGGUUUGGGGAUACUCUGAAACAUAUUUUGUAGAUACGAACUGGGCAAAGUGUAGUAUAGAGGAGUUUUUUUUUUUGUGAGACAUGCAUGCGUCUCUAUAUUCUCUCACUCUUUACCCAUGUAUUCAGGAUUUAGGGAUUGCAUUGCCAUUAUAUUGUUUAGUAUUGCCAUUAUAUUGUUUACUAUUGGAGAUAUGCUGGCUCAAUAAUUUGGAAAGUAGAAGACUUGGAUUAAAUUGCUCUUAAAAACUUUAUAGGUGUUGACAUUAUAAAUUAUAAGCAUCUCCUUGCCUAUAUCAAAUAUUAAUCUCCUUUGUCAUCUCUUUAGCACGGUGGGCUGACUGUACUACAUCAUAUAGCAAUUAGGAUCUACUUUGUGGUAAGACUUUGCCUUGCCGUAUUGGAUGUGGACACGAUUGAUUAUUUGGUCCAUGUUAGAAUGUUAGAUACAUUGUCAGUUGAAUUUUAGGAGCAUUUUUUAGUACAGAGAAAUUAAGAGGAUUGUCUUUCAGUAAAUGCUAUUGUAGAUUGGAUUUUGUGACGAAUUGUGCAUUUGGUGUUGAAAGAAUUUGAGGCAUGCUGGAAUUAUAUCAAUGUUCAUCUGUUCUUAGAAUAUGUGCUAUGAUUUUUGCAUGUACAAAUUAUUUUAUUUUUGGUCGAGAACCUUGCUUGGCAUGUCAUUUGUUAUUGAAAUGUGCAUAAAUAAUAUGAACUUGAAAUAUAUAGCUUUAUAAGUGUUGACGUAUCAAAGUGGGAUGUAGCAAGUAGUGGGACUGGUCAUAUAAGCAUUGCUCGAUUGCCGAAGACGGGGAUUGUAAUUUAUGUAUCUAUUGUUUCCUAUAUCCCAAACUUCUAAACUAUCAUAUUCUUAAAAUCUCCUCGCUUUUUCUCAUAUUAUCUUCACUUUACAUCAAAAAAUGUGGUCCCCCCUUUCUCUCUAUUAAUUCUCAAAUUUCACACUUUCUCCAUGUCCACACAACCUGUGCGAGAGUGAGAAGAAUGUUUGCCAUGAAUGAAUUCCAUGCAGCAGAGGAAGGGGAAAGCAAAUUUACUCACUUUGUGUCAAGGAAUCAUAUGAACUCUCAGCAGAGCAACAAAAGUGAUAACUCAACUGUCAAAUUCAAAGGACUUGAUAUAAGGUCUAACUUAGUCAAGACGUUGCAACAUAUAUGGUCUAAACAUGGAAACUUGAUAGAAAUAGCAUCAUCCGCAAUGGUGACAUGGUCUCCAGGGCAUUAGAGUCAUUGGCAACAUCAGUUCUCAUUCUGGAAGAAACCUCAGUUCGAUCCUUGAGUGAUUCUCAAGCUGAUUACCUGAACACUACAUUGUCUGACUUGCAAUGUAUGCAUUUUAAAGUAGGCUGGUUAGUUCCUUACGUGGAAAAUGCUGUACAACUACACAAAAGCAAGCCAUUGAUGGAUUCCUGUGAUGAGCUACUUAGUCGCCAAGUAAAAGUUGUAAAACAGAUAUCAAAGCUUAAUGAAGAACUAGCUGCUACUAAAAAACCUGGAGAAAGAUGUGGCCAAUGCGUUAAGCUCGAUUCCUUAUUCUGGAAAUGUAGAUAUGGACCAGCCUGUAGGAUGGGGGUUUUCUGAAAUGAAGUUUAUUGAUCUGCAGUUUUUAGCUUUGAAUGGAUGUUUAUUUAGGUAGCAUUCUGGAGUUUGGACUGUGAAAUGUGGCAAUAGUUUGCCUAAUGCGCCUUUUUAAUGUGUAAGCCAUGAAGCGAUAAGGUUUAAGAAUGAAACGAAUGUGACGUCUGCUGGUUUACUGUUUGAUAUUAAGGAAAUUUAAUUUUAAAAAUAGAUGAAUGUAUUAUGAAAUAUAUUUGUGGAUGCCCAUUAUACCCUUGUAUCAUUCCAGGACUUUCUAGAUUUUAGGGUUUAUUAUUCUCCAAGCAAACCCUAUCAAUUGUACUGUAUAUAUAGAUGUAUGCCUCCAUAAUAUGAAAUACAAGUAGAAUACACAUUUUAUUCCCUCUCAA
This is a long non-coding RNA of Chenopodium quinoa (quinoa), 4046 nucleotides long. RefSeq lists it as uncharacterized. NCBI's taxonomy places the organism in Eukaryota, Viridiplantae, Streptophyta, Magnoliopsida, Caryophyllales, Amaranthaceae. The record is from RefSeq and is a predicted model, not a curated record. The transcript has 4 exons.